Molecule: transfer RNA, 64 nt
Filed under: Canis lupus familiaris (dog)
Lineage: Eukaryota; Metazoa; Chordata; Mammalia; Carnivora; Canidae
Also listed under: 1 other name
Source: Rfam by way of RNAcentral
CCCAGGGUGGCUCAGUGGUUGAGCAUCUGACUUCGGCUCAGGUCGUGGUCCAGGGAUCCUGGGA